GUGGGGAUGCCGGAGUGGCCAAACGGGAUGGACUCAAGCCAUUUUUUUCCGGAUAUGCUGAGGAAUUAUCCGAUGAUUGGUAGAUAUCCAUUGGCUUAGUGCCUACGGGGGUUCAAAUCCUCCUCCCCACA
This 131-nucleotide transfer RNA is filed under the name Candidatus Woesearchaeota archaeon. RNAcentral describes it as "tRNA-Leu". It matches the Rfam family "tRNA". Rfam says of the family: Transfer RNA (tRNA) molecules are approximately 80 nucleotides in length. Their secondary structure includes four short double-helical elements and three loops (D, anti-codon, and T loops). The record is from RNAcentral. Lineage: Archaea; Nanobdellati; Candidatus Woesearchaeota.